Small nucleolar RNA from Sorex araneus (European shrew), 207 nucleotides. Its record names the gene U3. It matches the Rfam family "Small nucleolar RNA U3". Rfam says of the family: Small nucleolar RNAs (snoRNAs) are involved in the processing and modification of rRNA in the nucleolus. There are two main classes of snoRNAs: the box C/D class, and the box H/ACA class. U3 snoRNA is a member of the box C/D class. The record is from Ensembl. Lineage: Eukaryota; Metazoa; Chordata; Mammalia; Eulipotyphla; Soricidae.
AAGACUGUACUUUCAAGGAUCAUUUCUAUAGUUACUAGUUACUACAUUACUAGAGAAGUUUCUCUGAUUGUGUAGAACACCCAAAAGCCAAAACAUUCUUUCCGGAGCAUGAAGCUGGUUCUAGGUGUUGGGUUUGCAACUGCAGUUACCACUGAUGCUUGUUCUUCUCUUCGUUUGUAAGAGAGAGAGGGAAAGGAUGCAGGCUGA